Long non-coding RNA from Mytilus trossulus (common blue mussel), 1049 nucleotides. RefSeq lists it as uncharacterized. Lineage: Eukaryota; Metazoa; Mollusca; Bivalvia; Mytilida; Mytilidae. The transcript is spliced from 5 exons. The record is from RefSeq and is a predicted model, not a curated record.
GAAAAAACUAAAACAUAGCUUUUAUUCCAAAAGAUUUAUAUUUCUCAUUUCUGCAAAAACAUUUUUGGGGCUCAUUAGAUUUUUUUUAUAAAAAUUGGAUAAAAAUGCCAAAAAUUGCCUGAAAUCUACAAGAGUUAUUUCCCUUUUUAGAACUCACCAAAGUUUAAAAAUAGAAAAAGUCAUUCGUUUAUCUACAGAAAAAUGGAGACAGACGUCUGUAACAUGUUUUGCGUGUUUAAAUCAACAUAUUUUACACUUUACAUCUAAUAUAAAUAUAUCUGUAUACAUUCCUCAUAAUGGCUGGUCAGUUUCAUAACAAUGAUAAGCAUUUACUAUGACAAUGUAUGUUCAGAGGACAUAAAAGUCAUAACAAACUUGAGAGAACAUGUGAAAAUCGUGAUGAAGACCAUGAUGAACAGGAUGCUGUUUGUACAGAAUGUGAUUUGCUCCCGCCACCUUCAUCAAUAUUACAAAUAUGUUCAAUCCAUUGUUCAAUGUACUUGGACACAAUGAAAAAAGAAAAAGGGGGAAACUAAUGUGAAGUUCCGUUUUGAUCAACACCUGUGACAUGAACAGUCUGCUGCUAAAAAAAUGACUGUCACUGUCUAAUGUUGAAACUAUAAAUACACUUCAUGGAUUAUUCCUUCAACUUGAAACAGGUACAUGUAUUUGCAGAGACUGUAGUCUAGACCUGGUAGACAAAUGUUAAUAAAUUGCCAAAGCAAAGCAGUGCAACAUUAAAAAUAUGAAUGUAAAUAAGAUCAUGUCACAGCUUUAGAUGAUUCAGGUCCAAUCAAAAGAGCAAGAAAGACAAUACCAGUUAAAGGUGUCCAUUGUUAAUCCUAGAAGACACAAUUAAAAGUGAGCAAGCUGAUUUGAGUCAAAGUUCAGAUUCUUCUAUUUGUAAUCCCUUAAAGCUGGAAGCCUUGGACUGAUUGCUCAGUUUUUUAGAAAAUGGAAAUCGAGAAAACUAUUGAGGAAGACAGAUGCACAUAAGAUAAUUCUUAACAAAAGCAUCAGUGGAGAGCAUGUUAUCAUGCAACAUAGAC